CCUUAGUACGGCGAGUGAAGCGGCAAAAGCUCAAAUUUGAAAUCUGGUACCUUCGGUGCCCGAGUUGUAAUUUGGAGAGGGCAACUUUGGGGCCGUUCCUUGUCUAUGUUCCUUGGAACACGAC
This 124-nucleotide ribosomal RNA is filed under the name Saccharomyces cerevisiae (brewer's yeast). RNAcentral's name for it is "partial 26S ribosomal RNA". The record is from RNAcentral. Lineage: Eukaryota; Fungi; Ascomycota; Saccharomycetes; Saccharomycetales; Saccharomycetaceae.